RNAcentral lists this ribosomal RNA (633 nucleotides) under Stauroneis constricta. RNAcentral's name for it is "partial Eukaryotic small subunit ribosomal RNA". The record is from RNAcentral. Lineage: Eukaryota; Bacillariophyta; Bacillariophyceae; Naviculales; Stauroneidaceae.
CAUUUUAAGCGGGGUGUCAUUCAGGAUAGCGACACGUUUGCCAACCCCAGACCGCGUUGUUGAAGUGCGAAACCCCGUCCCACCAAAAGAGGAAAGGACAGGAAUGCCACCAUGAGUGCAGGCAUGGCGGCGUUAUCUGGAAUCGUUGCCGAUUGCUGGUUAGUUGUUUUUGUUUUGUCCUUGCUUGUUUUGAUAGUUAUAAGUGCGGGUCUGUGCAAGAAAGCACCCGCCGAAAGAGUCAUGUAUGCGAGCAUGCGCACACGUCUAGUUGCUGUUUGCCCCCCGUUAGGAUUUGCACCACCCGGGAGGUUGGCCGAUAGCUUGUUAAGGCUGCCGGCCGGGUCCUGUUCGUUUAGUAUUUUAUAUCCACCCCUUCACCAGUCGCCCACACACCCGCGGCAUUCCCCCCAGCCUCUUUCAAGGGGAGACGCGCGAAUGUGACAACAGUCGGUGUCGAGUAAGAUAGUGAAGCCAGUUGAGAGCGCUUCCCUGCAUCCCGCCGGAGUUCAUCACAGACACGGUGGAAAAGGGUCGAGCGUGAUGUCACUAGCACACCACCACCACCUAGCUAGCUAGUAGCAUGAUCGGUAGUAGUAGUAGUAGCAGCAUCCCGUCGUUUAUUCCAUCCGUGCA